RNAcentral lists this small RNA (30 nucleotides) under Bombyx mori (domestic silkworm). RNAcentral describes it as "ovarian small RNA-14125". The record is from RNAcentral. Lineage: Eukaryota; Metazoa; Arthropoda; Insecta; Lepidoptera; Bombycidae.
CGAACUGAUUGGCCAUCACCAAAGUGGUAU